RNAcentral lists this transfer RNA (70 nucleotides) under Erinaceus europaeus (western European hedgehog). It matches the Rfam family "tRNA". Rfam says of the family: Transfer RNA (tRNA) molecules are approximately 80 nucleotides in length. Their secondary structure includes four short double-helical elements and three loops (D, anti-codon, and T loops). Lineage: Eukaryota; Metazoa; Chordata; Mammalia; Eulipotyphla; Erinaceidae. The record is from Rfam by way of RNAcentral.
GGGGUGUAGCUCAGUGGCAGAGUGCACACCUUGAAUGUGGAAGACCCUGGGUUUGAUCCCAGUCAUUCCA